This is a long non-coding RNA of Dendrobium catenatum, 701 nucleotides long. RefSeq lists it as uncharacterized. The transcript is spliced from 2 exons. The record is from RefSeq and is a predicted model, not a curated record. Lineage: Eukaryota; Viridiplantae; Streptophyta; Magnoliopsida; Asparagales; Orchidaceae.
AUUAACAAUCAUACUCAAGGUACAACUAAACACAUUGCUAUAUAAACUUCAAUGAAGUACAUAAACUGUUAAUUUUUUUGUUCAGUGUAUGGUUCUCAAAAUUACAGUGCAUCAACAUUGAUAAUAUCUGCUUCUUUUUUUCGUUUAAUUAUUUUGGCUAAUAAUGGUGGCUAUACAGAUGUCAGCUAAUUUAGGUAUCAUUUGGAUGCUUUUCAAUUGCUUUGAUUUUCAAAAAUAUUACAUCCCAAUUGGAUUUGUGUGAGAAACAAGUUAAAGAAUGCGCUAUGUUGCAUAUGAACAUCCUCCAUGUCACCACAAUCAUGGAAACACAAUUGGAGAGCACCUUGUCCAUCUUUGUCAAGUUUUCUUCCUUUCCCAAGGGGUGACCAAAAGUAGCAAUUUCCAGAGAAGAGAGAGUGAUAGAGAGAAACUUAUGAUUUGUGCUCACCAAGAGGAAUAGAUAUCAGGUUUUUCAACUUUCACAGUAAAAGAGAGUGAAAGAAGACGUUGCCUUCAGACUCAUGAGGUGCAUGGAAAAGAAAGAACGUAAUAUAAAGAAGGAGCAAUCAAGAAUAGGUAACUUUCAAUAGACGAGAACGAGAAAGAUAUCCAUAGAAGAAGCAUAAAAUUAAAUACAUUUAGCAGCAAAAUUAAAUCCUAAAAAUAAUCUUAAAGGCUAGAAUAAUCUAUAAUUAAUGUUG